RNAcentral lists this transfer RNA (64 nucleotides) under Empria rubicola. Its description in RNAcentral is "tRNA-Tyr". Lineage: Eukaryota; Metazoa; Arthropoda; Insecta; Hymenoptera; Tenthredinidae. The record is from RNAcentral.
AAUAAAAUGGCUGAUUAGGCGAUAAAUUGUAAAUUUAUUUAUGAAAUUUUUUUUUCUUUUAUUA